ACGGGUGAGUAACGCGUGGGAAUCUACCCAUCUCUACGGAAUAACGCAUGGAAACGUGUGCUAAUACCGUAUACGUCCUUCGGGAGAGAGAUUUAUCGGAGAUGGAUGAGCCCGCGUUGGAUUAGCUAGUUGGUGGGGUAAAGGCCUACCAAGGCGACGAUCCAUAGCUGGUCUGAGAGGAUGAUCAGCCACACUGGGACUGAGACACGGCCCAGACUCCUACGGGAGGCAGCAGUGGGGAAUAUUGGACAAUGGGCGCAAGCCUGAUCCAGCCAUGCCGCGUGAGUGAUGAAGGCCCUAGGGUUGUAAAGCUCUUUCACCGGUGAAGAUAAUGACGGUAACCGGAGAAGAAGCCCCGGCUAACUUCGUGCCAGCAGCCGCGGUAAUACGAAGGGGGCUAGCGUUGUUCGGAUUUACUGGGCGUAAAGCGCACGUAGGCGGACUAUUAAGUCAGGGGUGAAAUCCCGGGGCUCAACCCCGGAACUGCCUUUGAUACUGGUAGUCUUGAGUUCGAGAGAGGUGAGUGGAAUUCCGAGUGUAGAGGUGAAAUUCGUAGA
Molecule: ribosomal RNA, 557 nt
Filed under: uncultured bacterium
Lineage: Bacteria
Description: bacterial SSU rRNA
Rfam family: Bacterial small subunit ribosomal RNA
Source: RNAcentral